RNAcentral lists this long non-coding RNA (372 nucleotides) under Musa acuminata (dwarf banana). RNAcentral describes it as "long non-coding RNA (MACU_LNC005021)". Lineage: Eukaryota; Viridiplantae; Streptophyta; Magnoliopsida; Zingiberales; Musaceae. The record is from RNAcentral.
UAUUCGAGUUCCUGCUGUUCGUGGACUGCAACCAACCACCAGGCUAAAGUGGACGUCAUCCAUCCACACUACACACCAAAGAAGAAAGCACUCGAAAUAAGUGAACCAUCUCGAUAGCCAGAAACGGAUACAGAGGUGGAAGAGCGAGCCAAUGGUGAUACCGCACCACCAACGGUGUUUCUUGCUCCGAAGCCGUAGUUAUAAUUCCCAUGACAGCAUCCACAAAUACUGACUCCACGCUUAGCAAAAGCAAGCUUUUCAAUUCCCAUGUAAAGAAAGCACCAGAAAACAAAUCAAACAACAUAGCUUGGAGGGAUGGAAGAAUUUUAGCCUGUGAUAGUUUUAUCCCGCGCCUUAGCAUCACAAUAAGAG